RNAcentral lists this ribosomal RNA (116 nucleotides) under Vibrio parahaemolyticus. RNAcentral describes it as "partial 16S ribosomal RNA". It matches the Rfam family "Bacterial small subunit ribosomal RNA", at positions 1 to 96 of the family's 1533-position model. Lineage: Bacteria; Pseudomonadati; Pseudomonadota; Gammaproteobacteria; Vibrionales; Vibrionaceae. The record is from RNAcentral.
CUUAAAUUGAAGAGUUUGAUCAUGGCUCAGAUUGAACGCUGGCGGCAGGCCUAACACAUGCAAGUCGAGCGGAAACGAGUUAUCUGAACCUUCGGGGRACGAUAACGGCGUCGAGC